UAUGCUUGAAAACAUUGAGGACAAUGUUUGAUUUAAGUGUGGGGGGGUAACCAAAGUGUUUUGAUGCAAAUUCGUAGGGUUUUCUCACUCAUACUUCCCAAUGUUGUUUCUUGCUGUUUUUAGGUGUUUUUAAGCUGUUUUUGGUGUGUUUUAAAUGUGUUUUGAUUCAAAAAUCCGAAAAAUACCAUAAAAAUUUGAAAAAUUGUUUUAAAAAACCCAAAAAGAGUUGUUUUUGUGUGUUUGUUUGUGUCUUAGGGUACCUUCCAACACAAUGAUGAGGAUUCGGUUUUUAAUUGCAUGACUGUUAAAGAGAGUUAUAAACACAUGGAUGAAAGUUUGAUUUACUCUUGGUUUAUGCUUGGUUGUGGUUAUAACUUAUGAAUUCACAUGUAAUCAUAAAGAAAAAAAAUUAGUUUUUGUAACAUGUUUGAAGGAAGGAACUCAAACUAACGCUACAACCUUGUGAGACUUGAGCCUAAACAUUAUUUGGAGAGUUAAAAUCUGUGCAUUCUUGUUUUCUAAAGUCGUUGCAUGAUCUCAUUAUUCUUUGCUUGGUUAUUACUUAGAAGGCGUUUCAUCACUUUAGUUCCAAAUGCUAGAACUCAUGCCAAUUUCAUUCAAAACAUUUCAUUGAAUUGCAUAACACGUAUUCAAGAUGAAGUUGUUUAGUAGUUACCACCAUAGCCAAAAAGCCUUCAUUCCAUACAUUUGUUUUUGUAGGUUUUAGCCCCGUUGAGCCUUGUUUAGCCUAUAUUGUUUGUUAACCCACGUUAUCCUUACCUAGCCUAGAUUAGGACCAUCCAUACCCUUGUUCUUAAAAGCAUAGUAAGCAUGACUUAAAAUGAAUUCCUUUUGAUCAAGGGUGUGCAGAAAAACAAGUGUGGGGGAAAGUGAGCCUUGUGUAUUGUGUGCCAAAGUCUUAAAUGAGGCAUGGGGUAGAAAAGAAAAAGAAAAGAAAAAAAAAAUGUGAAAAGUGUGAAAAAGAGUUGAAAGAGCAUGAAAAUGAGCUCUAAGGUGUUGGUUGUUGAAGAAUGGGUCCAAAACAGUGAAUUUGACCUUAAGUGUUGCAUGAAUUUCCCCUUUGAGUUUAAAAGUUGAUUUUUGCAUUCAAAAGUGAAUUCUAAGUGUCAAUUUCAUUGCUUUGCUUACUAUUGUUUUAAGAACGUUUGUUUACCCUUCACCUUUCUUUGUUAGCCAAUACCCCAAGCCCCGUUACAACCCUUAACUUCUAUCUUGAGUGUUGUGUAUUUCAAUUUGUGGAGUUUGGGAUUGGUAUGAGCAUAUGGUGUCACUGGUUCUCGCAUCUAAGUAGUAGCAUUCCUUUCAUGAGAUCAUAUACAUGCUUAUUAAAUUCAGAAAAAGCUUUCCUUGUUAUAACAUAUGUGAGCAUUCGUUUUUAUAUUUACAUCAAUCUUCUCACAUAUAACUAGUAUAGGGUGUGUAGUCAGAAAAUCUGUGUGAAAAUUGAGUGCAUAUCUAGUGAGGAAUUGAGCAAAUUCUCUAAGGCAUGUUACUACAUUCAAAAUCAUGUUUUAAUUGGUUAAAUGUGAACUAGUACGUGGUGACUAUAAUUAAGUAUGUGCUUAAGUGUAAAGAUGGCUAAAAUCUGUGGGAAUGAUGAUUUUUAAUUUGUCAUGUGCAUUGGAAAUCCCUGAGGCGAUCGUUGGAAGGUUUAGGUUAUGUUUCGUUUUGUUUUUCUUUUGUUUCUUUGUUUUGCUCGAGGACUAGCAAAAGCUAAGUGUGGGGGAAUUUGAUAGGAGCAUAUUUAUGCGCCUUAGUUAGCUAGUUCUUAUGCAUUUUCGUUAUGUUUUCUUCGUUAAAGU
This 1823-nucleotide long non-coding RNA is filed under the name Malus domestica (apple). RNAcentral describes it as "long non-coding RNA (MDOM_LNC020687)". The record is from RNAcentral. Lineage: Eukaryota; Viridiplantae; Streptophyta; Magnoliopsida; Rosales; Rosaceae.